Molecule: long non-coding RNA, 3240 nt
Organism: Lycium barbarum (goji berry)
Lineage: Eukaryota; Viridiplantae; Streptophyta; Magnoliopsida; Solanales; Solanaceae
Exons: 2
Source: RefSeq, a predicted model, not a curated record
AGAGUUUCAUGUAAAUUGGGACGGAGAAAGUAUAUAUACAUAUAUAGUGAUAUUACGUCAAUAGAUUAUAGACGGUGGUAAUCAUAGCUAAACCACCAAUCAAAGAAUGCACAAUCUGCAAACAUAAAGAUGUCAGUAAUAUUAAAUCAAGAAUAUCAAAUAGGCGAAAAAUUGGAUCUUGGCUGGUAGAAAGAAGGGGAAGAGACUAAGGGCAAUAACAACAAUGAACACAUGACUUUUCAUUUUUCUGUAGUUGAAGACGCAACUCUGGUUUUUUUCCAUUUUUUAAAUAAAGGGUAGUUUUUUUUUUUUAAAAAAAAAGGAAUAGGCCAAAAAAUUGAGGAAAAAAAUUAAGAAUAAUGAUAAAGAAAUCUGAUACACAAAGAAUGACUAAUACACAAGUCUAAUGAAGAAAUGCAGACCUUUUAGAAGUUUGAAAAUCAUCCAUGGAGUCUAUUUCAAGUUCAUCCAUCUUCUCUACAAGAAAGAGAUCUCCUACAAGGAAGUGAUAUUUAUUGGAAUCACUUGCACCAUUUGCUUGCACUCGUAAAUCACAAUUCCUUUGGUAACUUAAUCUUAAUUGCAAUGUAAAUUCUCCUUGCGUGACCCUGGUUGGAAUCCUCCAUCAUGAAUGGAUAUAUACUUAAGAAGGGAAUGCAGAUAAAUUAUAGAACUGCAAAGGGGAAUAUAGGUAUUUGCCGUUACAAGUGAUUAAGGUGAGUAAAAGGUGUCCUUUGGAACAGGUGUCAUUAAAAGGACAAUAAAUUGGGGGAAAAGGCCAAAAACUAAUAAGUUAUUAAGAGGGGGUGAUAAAGUGCCUUUUGGAAUAGCUGCAAUUAAGGCUUUUGCUGAAGUGUCUUUUAGAUUUUUAGCCGAACAGCAUUAACAAUUAAUUGGGAAAAAAUUUAAAAAAAAAAGCUAAAAACUGAGAAAAAAGAUAAAUGUGUUUUUUUAUUUGAGAGAGUGUCGUAUCAUCGGGCCUAUGUAUCUCUUUUAAUUAUACAUAGAUAUAGAUAUAGAUAGUCACUUCCCUCGCAUCUUUUCCUCAUUAUUUUCCCACUCAUCGCUUCACUUCCUCUUCCUCUUCCGUUACAACCCUUACGCUCAGACCGCUUCUUCCUUGCAUUCUCUUCUUUCUGCUUUAUCUCUCUGUUGCCAAGUUACUUGUGCUUUGGUCUAUUUAUUCCAGUCCGUUGCAUCACAUCAGUGCAGAGGAACUACUACAUCACAAAUUGUGCCCAACUUAAUUGUGGAAAAAUAGGAAGAAUACGAGAUACUUAUUAUGACGCCCAUGAACUGUUCGAAAAGAUGCCCUAUAGAGAUCUUGCCCAUGCCUUCAGAGAAAGGUAUUAAUUACUCAACAGAUGAAAGAUGCCCUAUAGGGACAGCUUCAGGAAAGGGUAUUAUUUAUUCAACAAACAGGUCAGUAAUUCUUUGAAAGUAAAUCUUUACCUAUAUGUGUUCUUGGGUUAUAUUUGCAGCAUGUAAAAUCUACACCUUUUUAGUUUAACAACUAAUAUAUUCCACAAUUACACUCAACCUGGUUCAACGCCUAAUCUAAUGGUGUAGGUGUUUUCCUUUUCUUUUUCUCUGUUAGACACUUUCUAAUAUCACCAUUGCUAAGGUUUUGUACUUAGGUCCCUUUGCAUCCUAAUGAUACUUUUGAAGUCAGCAUAACAAAGGAAGGAUAUGGACCUAAUAUAGUAAAUUAAGUUAUAUACAAUGGUAGUACAAUGAACUUGUAUACUAUCUGUGUAACUUUAACAUAUUAUUGCAGGUUAUUUACUCUUUUAUAAACUAUUUGUUGUAAAAAGUUACAUACCCCUGCAGGUAACUUAACCUUAUAGUGUAAAAAAAUUAUACAUCACCACCAUGAGUGCACAAAACUUUCUCAUUUAAAAUUAGGUGUAUGUAUGUGAUUGAUGGAAGUUAGUGUAGCAAAGGUUCUCCACUGUUAAAACUAAGAAACUCAUUGUUUUUUUCUACCUGUCGAUGGACAAAGGUUCUCCAAUGUAUCAAAAAAUUCGGCGAAUGAUUUGGAAACAUGUAAGAAAUCGGUAGUGUCAGGAAUUGGUAAUUGAAUAGCCAACGUCGAUAUCUAUGUCUUUCGAUACUAUGGCUCGAGUUCUUAUAUUGGUUAUUCUCCUGCUCCGGCAAACAAUUCGUUUCCUCUGGAUAUGAAGUCAGCAUUUUCUUUCUUACACUGUGUAUUAGAGAUCGGUAAAUUGGUUUAAUUUCUAAGCGCUGAGAUUUAUGUCAUUCGAUGACCGUAAGUCGAACGAAUCCUUAUGUUGAUUCUCCUGCUUCUACCAACAUUUUUUCGGCCUUCAGUACUAAUACAAUGUUUUCUUUCUUAGUUCGCAUAAAUAUACCGUAUACUAGAGAUUGGUUUCCAAAUUGGUUCAAAUUAUAUUUGUUUUAAUAAAAAAGAAACAAUAUGAAAAAGAAGAGUAAUGCACUGAUUUGCAUGUAGCUAACAGAUGCAUAUUGUUAAUUGUUAACGGACCAGAAUGUAGUUCUGUCUUAUUGGAUGUUGUUUUACCAUUUCAAUUGAUAGCUAUGGAACUUUAGUAUUCUUUCUAUUUUUUGGAAAAAAAGAUAAGUAAAGUAACUUUUUUGAGUAAAGAAACAGCAUCAAGAGAAUGCUGGCAGUUACAGCCUACAAGUAUGGAACUUUGCUUUCCUCAUAGCACCUUCUGGUUCCAGCUGGACGUUGUGAUUUUUAGCCUACGGGUACGAAACUUUGCUUAAUUAUUGUUAUUUUGGUUACAGAUUUGGUUAUAGAUUUGUGUCUAACAGUCUAAGUAAUAUAUGUACCUAACUCUUCAAAAAACAAGAAUAUUGACUAGCACACUUUCUAACCUGAAGUUGAAGAACAUAAUUUGUACUAAUGAUAUAAGUGAUCAUGAAGAUGAAAAGGAUACUGAAUAGAGCCACAUUCCCUCGGAGAAACAGAAAUUUGCCCCCAGAAAGAGACUCCUGCUUCUUAAUCCUGGUGGUGUUCUGAUUCUUAAGGUGAACCGUCAAGACCGUGGCCACUGUUCUAAGCUACAUCACAGACUUGGUUCGCGGAAGCUUUACAUAUUUCUCUGUUUUCUUUAAACUGUCUUCUCUUCUUCUUUUUCCCAGAUAUUUAGUACUUACGUCUAUUAGAUACACUUUGCUGGACUUCCCGAUCUCUUUUGUAAUCUUGAUAAGUGAAAUUCGUGCACAAAAGAAUAUGUAUUACGAAGUUAUAAA